This 1380-nucleotide long non-coding RNA is filed under the name Dicentrarchus labrax (European seabass). Its description in RNAcentral is "lncRNA (ENSDLAG00005029877.1)". The record is from RNAcentral. Lineage: Eukaryota; Metazoa; Chordata; Actinopteri; Moronidae.
AUGUUAAUAUUUUAAAAAAUUAAUUUGUCAGGAAAUAUAUUAUCGGUAAAUGUCACAGAAUACAAUCUACUGCAGGUCUUAUGUAUUAAUGAACCUUAGUCAGGCAAAUGUAGACACACCAGUAGUUGUGGCAUAUGAAUAUUGAAUGGAUUCAGAAGGAAAAGCUUUUUUGUUUUGGAUGUUGUUUUUUUUUUUUUUUUAUAUUUUAUAAAAGACAAGAGAUGCAGACAGCUGGUGCUUUCAUGGGAAUUUAAAGGUAGCGCAGGACAAAACAAUGUAGCGAAUUUUUGUUUUGUUUUUGUUUUUUAUUCUUUUUUUAUACAGAAAAUAGACCUGUCUGCUAGAGAAAAAAGGCUGAUGCUGGCCCAUCAAUGAUUUCUGCUGGAAAGGUUUUAUAAACUGUAGCUUCUAUUUCUAAAAUGUACUUAAUGUACUUCAAAAUGUUAUAAAAUAUAUGUGAACAAAGAUUUCAUAUUCGUGUGUGGUGUCACUGUUUUGAUUCAUGAACAUACAUUAUUAUUAUACUAUGCUAUAUAACAUACAUUGACAUCUACUUGUGAUAUUAUAGUACUAUGUACUGCUAUACUAUUUUUAUACCAUACUAGUUUUGCUAUACUAUUUAAGUAUUAUAAAUACAAAACUGUAAAAUUGACUAUAAUCAUAAGGUUCAUUAUAGUCAAUUUUACAGCUUUGUAUGUUAACACAGAGCAGUUUUUAUACCUGUUCUGCAGGAAACCUUGUGGUCUAACAUGUGAUGCUGACUGUAUCUAAGGCAUUGGCUGUUUGAUACGGUUCAGCAUUAAAAAUCAUUAGAAUCAUCUCCAGAACAAGUCAUGAACAUUAAAUCACUGAGCAACUCUGAACAGAUGAAAAUGAUUAAUUAAAUUUUGUUGUUGAUUGUAUAGAUACAGUAGUUAAUACAUGCACUUUAUAUAUAUAUAUAUAUAAAGACAGACAGACAGACAGAUUAAUUGAUAGUUGGUUUCAACAGUUGAUUCUGCAAUAGUCUAACUCACAGCCAAAUUAGUCAAACAAAUCUGUCUAUUGUUCCAAUCACCACACUCAAGUCCUCCAAAGGGGGGCCUAGGUUCCCUUUGAAAUACAUGCGGGCCAUGGUGUGUCCCAGUUUUAACGAGUGUGUCCCAUGCACCCUGAUGAGGUGACGUCAAAACAGAACCAGCACACUGGGGCCCAUUCAUGUGCUUGUAACCCCGGGCUCAUAUAAAUUCCACUGUAGAUAGAAAACAUACAGGCCCAUGGCCUGUUGCCCCAAACAGCACAGCUGUUUGGCCCCACUGCAGCGGUUUGGCAAUAAGACCAAAAUACAGACAUAGCAGGCUGCUUUAAAACAAUUGCAACCCGAAUGUAGAAACAAAACAA